This 499-nucleotide long non-coding RNA is filed under the name Anas platyrhynchos platyrhynchos (common mallard). Its description in RNAcentral is "lncRNA (ENSAPLG00000027418.1)". Lineage: Eukaryota; Metazoa; Chordata; Aves; Anseriformes; Anatidae. The record is from RNAcentral.
GUUUGUUUUCUUCUGUUGUAGAUCAUAAAAACACUGUUAGAACCACACAUGCUUUGCAAACUUUGAUCCAGUAACACAGGUCACCAGUGCGGAGCGAGAGACUCCCAGCUCCUUGGAGAAAGCCAAAGCCCCUGUUGGAGCAGCCGAACUGCCUGGCAGCUGGAGUCAGACGAGGUGACGAGCCUUUGCCACAGCCCCUCCUGAUCCCGGGAUGCAAUCGGCCUUGUCCAUGCUGCGGGCAGCAGAUGGCUCCUGCACACAAAGCACAGCCAGUGUGGGACUCAUCCGCAUCGAUGCCUGGAGCCACGCAGUGAUGAGACCGGACAGAGGGAUAAGUGAGGCUGGGGCUGUCCCCUAUACACCCUCAGAGCCCUGCUCCUGGAGUGCCUGGACACUUCCAGCAUGCCAGCCAUCUGCGUCUUGGAAGCUCUCGGUGGGCCCACUUUCCUGCAUGAGGAACAGGCAGUGCACUUGCGUGCCCAGAUGCAACCAGUGCUAG